UACGUAGGGGGCAAGCGUUGUCCGGAAUCAUUGGGCGUAAAGCGCGCGUAGGCGGUCAGGUAAGUCCGGUGUGAAAGUCAAAGGCUCAACCUUUGAAUGCCGCUGGAUACUGCCUGACUUGAGUCCGGAAGGGGCGAGUGGAAUUCCUGGUGUAGCGGUGAAAUGCGUAGAUAUCUGGAGGAACACCGGUGGCGAAGGCGGCAUCCUGGACCAACACUGACGCUGAGGAGCGAAAGCCAGGGGAGCAAACGGG
This 253-nucleotide ribosomal RNA is filed under the name uncultured bacterium. Its description in RNAcentral is "partial 16S ribosomal RNA". It matches the Rfam family "Bacterial small subunit ribosomal RNA", at positions 524 to 776 of the family's 1533-position model. The record is from RNAcentral.